This 378-nucleotide unclassified non-coding RNA is filed under the name plant metagenome. RNAcentral describes it as "partial contains 5.8S ribosomal RNA, internal transcribed spacer 2, and large subunit ribosomal RNA". The stretch from base 1 to 105 matches the Rfam family "5.8S ribosomal RNA", at positions 50 to 154 of the family's 154-position model. The record is from RNAcentral.
GAAAUGCGAUAAGUAAUGUGAAUUGCAGAAUUCAGUGAAUCAUCGAAUCUUUGAACGCACCUUGCGCUCCUUGGUAUUCCUUGGAGCAUGCCUGUUUGAGUAUCAUGAAAUCUUCAAAGUAAAUCUUUUGUUAACUCAAUUGGUUUCUACUUUGGUAUUGGAGGUCUUUGCAGCUUCACACCUGCUCCUCUUUGUUCAUUAGCUGGAUGUCAGUGUUAUGCUUGGUUCCACUCGGCGUGAUAAGUUAUCUAUCGCUGAGGACACUGUAAAAGGUGGCCAAGGUAAAUGCAGAUGAACCGCUUCUAAUAGUCCAUUGACUUGGACAAUACUUUUAUGAUCUGAUCUCAAAUCAGGUAGGACUACCCGCUGAACUUAAGC